This 582-nucleotide ribosomal RNA is filed under the name Pellona castelnaeana (Amazon pellona). RNAcentral's name for it is "partial 12S ribosomal RNA". It matches the Rfam family "Bacterial small subunit ribosomal RNA", at positions 556 to 1414 of the family's 1533-position model. The record is from RNAcentral. Lineage: Eukaryota; Metazoa; Chordata; Actinopteri; Clupeiformes; Pristigasteridae.
CGGCGUAAAGAGUGGUUAUGGGAGAAACACACUAAAGCUAAAGACCUCUCAAGCAGUUAUACGCACCCAGAUGCUCGAAACACCAGAACGAAAGUCGCUUUAACUUACCCACCAGAACCCACGACAGCCGGGAAACAAACUGGGAUUAGAUACCCCACUAUGCCCUGCCAUAAACUUCGAUGUACAAACACAAUAAACAUCCGCCAGGGGACUACGAGCGCCAGCUUAAAACCCAAAGGACUUGGCGGUGCUUCAGACCCCCCUAGAGGAGCCUGUUCUAGAACCGAUAACCCCCGUUUAACCUCACCACUUCUAGCCCCUCCCCGCCUAUAUACCGCCGUCGUCAGCUUACCCUGUGAAGGCACCAUAGUAAGCAAAAUGGGUAAACCCCAAAACGUCAGGUCGAGGUGUAGCACACGAAGUGGAAAGAAAUGGGCUACAUUAUCUGAAACAGAUCACUAACGAACGGUCCCGUGAAACAAAAGACCCAAAGGAGGAUUUAGCAGUAAAGAAGGAGUAGAGCGCCCUCUUGAAGCCGGCCCUGAAGCGCGCACACACCGCCCGUCACUCUCCCCGACAACC